RNAcentral lists this long non-coding RNA (482 nucleotides) under Linum usitatissimum (flax). RNAcentral's name for it is "long non-coding RNA (LUSI_LNC007126)". Lineage: Eukaryota; Viridiplantae; Streptophyta; Magnoliopsida; Malpighiales; Linaceae. The record is from RNAcentral.
UUUACUCCUCUAGACCUCAAAAAAAACCACACCAGGUGAACCAAACCUGAAAUCACAGUACAAAAUCCGACACUGUGAACCAAAAACACGACAACUCUACUCCUCUAGACCCUCAAAAAACCACCAGGAUCAAGAAAUGACCAACUCAAAGAAGCAGCAGAUUAAGAAAUGAAUCAAACCUGAAAUCUGGGCAGCUGGAAAUUGUGCUUUUUUCCAAAUCACAGUAGUAAGGAACCGAUCUUCUCCUGGAUCUCUGAAGAUUGGCUGCACUGGUAAUGGAGAAAGGGAGCCUUUUUUUGGGUUUGCUCAGUGAGUGAGCACUACUGAGGAGCAGAGCAAGAUCAGCAAAGUGGUGAAGUAUGAAGGAACGUGCUUGUUAAAAAGGGAGGAGAAAUGGAAUGAUUAAAAUAAGAAAACAGAAUAGAGGAAAAAGAUGGAUGCUUUGGAUUGGGAUGGGCAGUGAGUGUCGUCGGUGGAUCCGG